UUCUGGUUGAUCCUGCCGGAGGCUACCGCUAUUGGAGUUCGAUUAAGCCAUGCGAGUCGAGAGUCUUAGGGACUCGGCGUACCGCUCAGUAACACGUGGGUAACCUGCCCUAUGCUGGGGAAUAACCUCGGGAAACUGAGAAUAAUACCCCAUAGUUCACCACGCCUGGAACGGUGGGUGGAUGAAAGCUCCGGCGGCAUAGGAUGGGCCUGCGGCGUAUCAGGUUGUAGGGGGUGUAACGUACCCUCUAGCCAUCAACGCGUACGGGUGUUGGGAGACAUAGCCCGGAGAUGGAUUCUGAGACACGAAUCCAGACCCUACGGGGUGCAGCAGGCGCGAAAACUUGGCAAUGCGAGCAAUCGUGACCAGGGAACUCCAAGUGGCUGGGGUAAUACCCAGUUUUUUCUUGACUCUUCAAAGGUCUUGGAAUAAGGGGUGGGUAAGGACGGUGCCAGCCGCCGCGGUAAUACCGGCGCCUCAAGUGGUAGUCGCUUUUAUUGGGCCUAAAACGUCCGUAGCCGGUCUGGUGCAUUCGUGGGUAAAUCAACCCGCUCAACGGGUUGAAUUCUGCGAGCACGGCCAGACUUGGGACCGGGAGAGGUGUGGGGUACUCUCAG
Molecule: ribosomal RNA, 617 nt
Filed under: uncultured Candidatus Poseidoniales archaeon
Lineage: Archaea; Methanobacteriati; Thermoplasmatota; Candidatus Poseidoniia; Candidatus Poseidoniales
Description: bacterial SSU rRNA
Rfam family: Archaeal small subunit ribosomal RNA
Source: RNAcentral